RNAcentral lists this microRNA precursor (195 nucleotides) under Oryza brachyantha (malo sina). RNAcentral's name for it is "MIR812 microRNA precursor family". It matches the Rfam family "MIR812 microRNA precursor family". Lineage: Eukaryota; Viridiplantae; Streptophyta; Magnoliopsida; Poales; Poaceae. The record is from Rfam by way of RNAcentral.
AAUAAAUCAAUUUUUCACUUUUUAUCUAUAAUUUUUUACUCUUCGUCUUAUUCAAAUUUUUUUUACGAUUGAUAUUUUUGUUUUUAUUAGAUGAUAAAUCAUCACUAAUACUUUAUGUGUGACUAAUUUUUUUCUAAUUUCCAGAAACUUUUUAAAAUAAAACAGAUGGUCAAACGUUGGAUACGGAAACCGAAG